This 250-nucleotide ribosomal RNA is filed under the name uncultured bacterium. Its description in RNAcentral is "partial 16S ribosomal RNA". It matches the Rfam family "Bacterial small subunit ribosomal RNA", at positions 524 to 773 of the family's 1533-position model. The record is from RNAcentral.
UACGUAGGUGGCGAGCGUUAUCCGGAUUUACUGGGCGUAAAGGAUGCGUAGGUGGAAUUUUAAGUGGGAUGUGAAAUACCCGGGCUCAACCUGGGAACUGCAUUCCAAACUGGAAUUCUAGAGUGCAGGAGAGGAAAGCGGAAUUCCUAGUGUAGCGGUGAAAUGCGUAGAGAUUAGGAAGAACACCAGUGGCGAAGGCGGCUUUCUGGACUGUAACUGACACUGAGGCAUGAAAGCGUGGGGAGCAAAC